This is an RNA transcript of Gossypium raimondii (Peruvian cotton), 1895 nucleotides long. It is a transcript of the gene named pentatricopeptide repeat-containing protein At1g07740, mitochondrial, with no coding region annotated. The record is from RefSeq and is a predicted model, not a curated record. The transcript is spliced from 2 exons. Lineage: Eukaryota; Viridiplantae; Streptophyta; Magnoliopsida; Malvales; Malvaceae.
UAACACAUUUUCUCACAGUUUUCUCGGUAGGAAUAAAAAACAUCGUUUUUCGGCCAUGAUCCAUUCCAUAUCGAAACCCAUAAACCAAAUACAACGAAAUCGAAUAAACCAUUUCGUUAGAAUCCACGAACAUUCUAAAGAUUACCAUAGUUUUGGAGCUAAAAGACCAAAGACCAAAACAAACCAUGAAAACCCUCAAAAAAGUACACAAAAAAGACGCCCAAAAAGGCCACCCCCUUUUGUUGCAGCUAUGAAAGGCAUACAUGACCCAGAUGAAGCUUUGUCGCUUUUCCAUGAAUAUUAUCAAAUGGGUUAUAAGCAUGAUUACCCUUCAUUUUCUUCUCUAAUUUAUAAGCUCGCAAAGUCUCGAAAUUUCGAAGCUGUUGAAACCCUUCUUGGCGUAUUACAAAAUCUCAACAUUCAUUGUAAAGAAACCCUUUUUUGUGCUUUGUUUCAGCAUUAUGGAAAAGCCCAUUUGAGUGUAAAAGCUGUUGAGCUUUUCCGUAAAAUGCCUUGUUUUAACUGCGUUUGUACGGUUCAGUCUUUGAAUUCGGUUCUUAAUGUUCUCGUCGAUAACAAUAGGUUUGGUGAUGCAAAGGAGAUAUUUGAUGAGUCUAAAGAAAUGGGUUUUCGUCCGAAUUCCGUGACAUUCAACGUGAUGAUCAAAGGGUUGUUGAACGGGGCAGAGUUUGAUGAAGCAUGCAAUAUGUUCGAUGAAAUGCUUGAAAGAAACGUGGAACCUAGUGUUGUUACUUAUAAUAGUUUUAUAAGUUUUUUGUGUAAUAAGGGUGAGGUGGAAAAGGCUAAAAAACUAUUUGAAGAUAUGGUUAAGAAAGGGAAGUAUCCAAAUGCAGUGACUUACGCUUUGUUAAUGGAAGGUUUGUGUUCUUUAGGUGAAUAUAAAGAAGCUAAAAAAUUGAUGUUUGAUAUGGAAUAUAAAGGUUGUAAAACGAAGGUUAUUAACUUUGGUGUUUUGAUGAGUUACCUUGGAAAAAAAGGGGAAAUUGAGGAAGCUAAAUCAUUGCUUAGUGAAAUGAAGAAAAGGAGGUUUAAACCCGAUGUAGUGAUUUAUAACAUAUUGGUGAAUUAUCUUUGCAAAGAAAGCAAAAUUGAAGAAGCUUAUAAAGUUCUGAUUGAAAUGCAAGUUAAAGGUUGUGAGCCAAAUGCAGCUACAUAUAGGAUGAUGGUUGAUGGGUUUUGUAAUGUUGGGAAUUUUGAAGGUGCUUUGAAGGUUUUGAAUGUGAUGUUGAAGAGUCGGCAUUGUCCACGGUCAGAAACUUUUUGCCGGUUGGUUGCGGGGUUAUUACGGUGUGGGAAAGUUGAUGGUGCUUGCUUUGUUUUGGAGGAGAUGGAGAAGAGAAAAAUAAGCCUUGAUUUGGAGGCUUGGGGAGAUUUGAUAAGGGAUGCUUAUAGUGGUGUUGGUGAUACUAAUGAACUCUUAACACAAAUUAUCUUGGGUUAUUAGUGAUUUAGUUAACACAUAAUAAAUGUUUUGAGGGUGGAUUCGAAACUGCGAGCACGGAUUUUUAUCCUUAGGCGACAACUCUUAUUACUCGGGGAAUGAGGAAUGCAAGCUCUUAAACAGAGAAGGGUCGAAUUAGUUUAUUACAAUAAUAUCUUACUAAUGGUGAAAUAGAUCAAAAUUGUGCAGGGAUUCAACCAAGGUAGGCUGCUAUUGGAGGACACAAGGAAAUUGGUGAAAUGUGCAUCAAAAGUGAUUCUCUUUGUCUUUUGCUAUGCAACCAAACAAAUAAGACUCAUAACCAAUGCAAGAUCCCCCCCCCCCACUUGUUGUUGCAUUGAACUGAAUUAAGCAAUAGUUGAAAACGGAACAAGAGGGAGAUGUACUUUCCGAUAGGACUGAGAACAAAAAACCGAAGCCUAAGUUCUAUUUU